AGUUGGCAACACUGCAAUUGUAGUACAUCUGGGGAGAGAGCAAGAACAAUGACAGUUACAAACUCACACCCCUGAGAUGAGGUAAACAUGUAAAGCUUCUUAAAAGAGCUACCAAGUUUUUUAAGGUGGCAACAUUGGGUUUCAACAGCCAGAAACACAAGGCAUUUGAAUAUACAAAAGUAUUUUGUGGGUUUACCCUGGCCACCAUUACACCUCUGAGACAAGGGCUUAAGUCCAGAAUGAUGCAAAAUUAGUUUAGUGGCUACCUGAGUAGUGGGGAAAGACACGGAUAGAGGUUAUGGGCAUUCAGGGCACACAGGUUCUAAUGGAGAGAUACACUGGAAAACCAUCAAGACGACACCAGCCCUUACAAUCAAGCUGAAUUCCCAUUGACUUCAAUGGGAAGUGUUUGUGCAGAUGGAUUGCAUGAUUGGAUGCAAAGCAUUGAAAACUUUGUGACAAGAAGUUCUAGCCACAUGCACUAUACAUGGAGGAAGUCAAAUAGCAGCAGUGGAUAAACUCAGUCACAGAGAACAGAAAACUACAGACCUCCAAGAUACUGCUUAUAUACUUGAAAAAAUGUGACAUCUCAUCCAAAGGGGCAAAUGGAUGAGUUAUGAGGCUAAAAUUCUCAUAUUUUUAUAUUAGAAAAAUAUAGCUUUUCUAUGUAGUGAACAGAGAGGAAAGAUCCUCCUUCUCCUAACCACUGCAGACAGAAGCAGAUCAGCAUUUCAGGCUGUGAUUAUUGUGAGUCAGAUCCUAUAACUCUGUCCUAAUAAAACUCAGACAAGCGCACAUUAGAAGCAUGUCAUUUUUAAGGGUCUUGGACUUCCCACUUCUAAAUCAGAAUUUUCUCUCCAGGAAUUCAUGUGAUGGUGCAUUAUAAAUCUCAGAGACUAGAUUAAUCCCCUUAGAGAUUACAUGAGAAAAACUGCAGGAAUCCUAUUUCAAGAUGAAAAAAAUUCUUUCCUAUCAACUGGUCUUGUUAUAACAGACAGACACACACUCACUUUGAUGCCUGCAUCAAAAACGUAACAGACAAAUGACAUGCUUGUAAAUAUAUUCUUCAGGCUGGCAUCAUAACCAAAACCCUGGAUCAGAAAACUCAGUUAUAUGGCUACAUAAAAUAAUUGUGGAAGAGGGCAUGAGAACAGGUGUGAGUAUACAUUAAUCCUGUGCCUGCUUUGAGGGGGGACAUUCCCAGCAUAGCAAAUGGUAAGAUAGUGGUAUGUCCCCUUCAAGCCUUUCAGUGAUUGCACCUAGAUGAACACCAACAUUUUUGAGGGGUUUGGAAUUGAGACCGAAUCUAAAAUUUGCAGCUGGCACCUGCCUCCAUAACAGGCUGAACCAAAAACCUGAUCCCGACUCACUCUCUCUCACACUGUGGAGUAACUAUCAAAUCAAUGGAAUUCUAUCCCUGUGUGAGAUCAGGACAAGGCCUUCUAUAUUGGAACAUCUGUGAACUUCAGAGAGAACUUCGAUACUGGAUGCAAAUUUUGCAGCUCUGGCCUGACUCUACUUUGGAAGUUUCUUAAAAUGCCAAACUGAUUGCAAAGAAUUGUUGCACACUGGGUAACAUAGCCGUUCUCUCCCUUGUGAGCCUAGUUAUUCCAAAUAUGCAGUGACAGUGCAAUGACAUACUGGAGCCAUACGCAAGAAAAUGCAGUUGGAAAGCCUAGAUAAAUGACAAAAUAAGGCUAUUUCCCCCUUAGUAGCCAUUCUAAUAUUGCCUUGAAGUUGGUUACUUAAAAGCAACAUCUUUUACAUUUUGAAUUUAAUUAAUCAGCUGGGCUUGUGCAAGUCAAAGCAAUACCUCCUUCAAACUUCUGAGUUUUAACCUGUUUGGUUUCUGCUAUGUACUACAGUGUUACAGAAGCCAAGAUUUAGAGACACACUCACGUCAUAUUAUCUUAAGAACCAGCGACAUUAACUGGAAACAGUCCACACAUCUCUGUAUUGUCCAUCAGAUGCUUUAAAACCAUUUAUAAGCUGACAAAUACACACAGAUUUCUGUGGCUGGAACAUCGGCACUUUUUCAACUAUUUGUAAAGCAUAAAAAAUGCCUAUUAGUAUAAAAAUUGAAGAAAAAUUACCCGCAGGAGGAAUGGGCAUUAGCCAUGCUUCACUUCCCCCCUUUCUGUUGACAUUUGAAGCACUCUUUUUCUCCUCUUUUCUUUCCAAUUCACAGUGGGUCUAAAGAGGUGAAUCAGUGCACACAGAAAGAGAGAGAGAGAGAGAGAGAGGAAAAAUAAAGAAAAGAAAGAAAAAACCGCAACCCUCUUUUUGCCAAGCUGGGUAUGAAAUAUGAAGGCCCAACAAUUGUUUGAGCUCAGUGUUUUGGAAUAACAUUGGUUAAAUUAUGGAUAGUUUUGAAUAGUGUCACUUUUUUUUCCCUCUGCAGAUGGUUGUUCACACAAGGCGCCUAGCCUGCAUAAUUGUAUCACUAAUAAGCAGUAAGGCAAUUAGUUGUGUAAGUGUGCUAUAAUCAUUCUAACAGAAGAGAUGACGAAGAGACAAAAAAAAGGAGGGGGGACAAAAAAUGUCUUUUCUCAAUUCAUCAACUGACAGCCAUAAUUAGAUAUAUAUAAUUGAAAAUUUCACAGUAGGGGGGCAAGCUUAUACAAAUGAAUUUUCUUUGCUUCCCUUAUGCAUUUUUUCCCCUUUGCCUGAACAUCCCCCCCAGAAAAAGGCAAAAAAUUUGUCAUUCCAGGGGAGCGUAUACUGUAUGAACCACAGGCUGCUCAUUCAGAGCAAUGAUGUCAGAAUAACAUCCCCUCCACCCCCCAGUAUGAAAUAGACAGCUUUGAACUGGGCUUUUAUUAGCUGUUUUCAGCCAGUAGCAAAUAAUACCCCCUAGAUGAUCUAUAUCAGCUUGCGGAUCGUGAAAUGUAAAACUCUAGGAGAAGAGGUCACCUUUUUUUCCAUUGACAUGAAGACGGCUUGUUUUUGGGGAGGGUGCGGGAAGAGCUCUGAGUUAUAAUAGAGCAUUACAUCAUCAAGUAUUAUGGGAAGAAGGGGAUUUCUUUUGAGCGAAGCCUGAUUAUCAAAGGCUAUAAUUAAAUUUGGGCUAAAAAUGCUCAAGUGCUUAUGAGUUUGUGGAAACUAUGCACAGAACAGCUUUCCAUUGAAUUAAUCAGCUUGCAAGUUUUCAUUAUUCUGGACCUUCUCUUUCUAAACUGUAAGCUCACAAUCAGAGCCCCCUUUUUUUAUCAACAAACUCUCCUAAAAUUUAAUUGGACAAACCUUAACUGUGAUUUUUUUUCCUUAAAGAGAGAGCAUGUUAAGUCUGGAGCUUGUUAAUUAAGUUCUUUAAAUGCCCCCAGCUGUGCAAUAAAUUUUCAAAGUAACACAACUGCAUAUUUAUUUUUUUUUAACAUUUGCUCCCUCGUUUUUCAAUUACUAGCUGUAUUUGAAAACAAAACAAAAAAAUCUCAGAGAAUUCCCAUGUAUCAUUGUGAUUCUGGCUGGUGAAAAUUGGAGAAAGUCAGAAGUUGCAUUUGAUUAAAAUAUAACUUGAGAUCAAAGGAAAUGUUUUCUGUGGCCAACAUUACUGCAUUCUUCAGAGAUAAUCCAAGAGUGGGUUGUUUUUGUUUUUAAAGUGUCCUAGCAAGUUAUUGUGGCAGAUGUGUGCAAGGAGAAAAUGCAUUCUGCAGCUAUUUCACAACGGAAACCUUUUACCUGACACCAGAUAAGAAGUGGGCAAAUGAAUUUAUAUUUAAUCUUCAAAUUCAAGGGCCAGGUCUCCAAAUUGGUGAAAAUCAGUAUUGUUUCAUUCAUUUAAAUGGAGCUACGCAAAACUACACCAGUUCAGGUUCUGAUCCCAAGACUUAACAAUAACUACUGGUGCUGAUAAAAGUAGGAUAACAUGCAAAUAUUUAUUGUCACAUUUACUCUUCAACAUAUGGCCCACUGUCUGUAUUUAGGGUCCUGAUUUAUAACACAGAAAAUGCAUUAAUUGGAUCUACACAGUGAAAUCCCAGCUUAAAUGUUAAAUUAAGAAUUACGCUUGGAAAAUAUUCUAUAGUACUAAUGCUCUUCUGUUUGGAGAGAGAGAGAGAGAGAGAGCGAGAGAGUGUAAUAUGUGGUCCCCACCCCUCCUUAUUAGAUCCAUAUUUUGUGGAUAAAAGUUAUCAUACAUAAAGACUUUUAAUCUCUGUCAGCUCAGAAAACUUUGCAGAAUGGAAAUAGCUUAGUAUGGUACUAAGCACUGGAAAAUAGCAUUGGCACCCUUGAGUAUCAUGGAAUCAACAAUGAAAUGACAGUAGGUGGCUACGCUUUUCCCAUGUAGAGUCCUCAGUUUAAACAGCCCACGGCU
This is a long non-coding RNA of Dermochelys coriacea (leatherback sea turtle), 4315 nucleotides long. RefSeq lists it as uncharacterized. The transcript has 2 exons. The record is from RefSeq and is a predicted model, not a curated record. Lineage: Eukaryota; Metazoa; Chordata; Testudines; Dermochelyidae.